GAUGAACGCUGGCGGCGUGCCUAAUACAUGCAAGUCGAGCGAACAGACGAGGAGCUUGCUCCUCUGACGUUAGCGGCGGACGGGUGAGUAACACGUGGAUAACCUACCUAUAAGACUGGGAUAACUUCGGGAAACCGGAGCUAAUACCGGAUAAUAUAUUGAACCGCAUGGUUCAAUAGUGAAAGACGGUUUUGCUGUCACUUAUAGAUGGAUCCGCGCCGCAUUAGCUAGUUGGUAAGGUAACGGCUUACCAAGGCAACGAUGCGUAGCCGACCUGAGAGGGUGAUCGGCCACACUGGAACUGAGACACGGUCCAGACUCCUACGGGAGGCAGCAGUAGGGAAUCUGCCGCAAUGGGCGAAAGCUUGACGGAGCAACGCCGCGUGAGUGAUGAAGGUCUUCGGAUCGUAAAACUCUGUUAUUAGGGAAGAACAAAUGUGUAAGUAAAUAUGCACGUCUUGACGGUACCUAAUCAGAAAGCCACGGCUAACUACGUG
RNAcentral lists this ribosomal RNA (497 nucleotides) under uncultured bacterium. RNAcentral's name for it is "partial 16S ribosomal RNA". It matches the Rfam family "Bacterial small subunit ribosomal RNA", at positions 28 to 507 of the family's 1533-position model. The record is from RNAcentral.